GGGCAGCAUGGUCUUAGCUUGCUAAGGCUGAUGGCGACCGGCGCACGGGUGAGUAACACGUAUCCAACCUGCCGUCUACUCUUGGCCAGCCUUCUGAAAGGAAGAUUAAUCCAGGAUGGCAUCAUGAGUUCACAUGUCCGCAUGAUUAAAGGUAUUUUCCGGUAGACGAUGGGGAUGCGUUCCAUUAGAUAGUAGGCGGGGUAACGGCCCACCUAGUCAACGAUGGGUAGGGGUUCUGAGAGGAAGGUCCCCCACAUUGGAACUGAGACACGGUCCAAACUCCUACGGGAGGCAGCAGUGAGGAAUAUUGGUCAAUGGGCGAUGGCCUGAACCAGCCAAGUAGCGUGAAGGAUGACUGCCCUAUGGGUUGUAAACUUCUUUUAUAAAGGAAUAAAGUCGGGUAUGCAUACCCGUUUGCAUGUACUUUAUGAAUAAGGAUCGGCUAACUCCGUGCCAGCAGCCGCGGUAAUACGGAGGAUCCGAGCGUUAUCCGGAUUUAUUGGGUUUAAAGGGAGCGUAGAUGGAUGUUUAAGUCAGUUGUGAAAGUUUGCGGCUCAACCGUAAAAUUGCAGUUGAUACUGGAUGUCUUGAGUGCAGUUGAGGCAGGCGGAAUUCGUGGUGUAGCGGUGAAAUGCUUAGAUAUCACGAAGAACUCCGAUUGCGAAGGCAGCCUGCUAAGCUG
RNAcentral lists this ribosomal RNA (682 nucleotides) under uncultured Bacteroidales bacterium. Its description in RNAcentral is "bacterial SSU rRNA". It matches the Rfam family "Bacterial small subunit ribosomal RNA", at positions 67 to 736 of the family's 1533-position model. The record is from RNAcentral. Lineage: Bacteria; Pseudomonadati; Bacteroidota; Bacteroidia; Bacteroidales.